This is a long non-coding RNA of Monopterus albus (swamp eel), 1220 nucleotides long. RefSeq lists it as uncharacterized. Lineage: Eukaryota; Metazoa; Chordata; Actinopteri; Synbranchiformes; Synbranchidae. The transcript is spliced from 4 exons. The record is from RefSeq and is a predicted model, not a curated record.
GAAAAACCAUAUUAGCUGCUCUGGCUUGUAUUACUUGCAAAAUAAAUGUGUAAAUGUAAUUGUGUUUUCAAAUGAUUAUUUGAAGUAUUUUUUAAAUUUAACCUUUUCAUGCUAUAGUUUUGUUACUGGUUUAACAGAUACAGUGUUGAAAAGUUCACAUUUGGAGUAUUUCACAAUGCUGUGUUAAUAAUCUGCAGGUGCUAUCUUGUUUUUUUAUUUUGCAUAUCAGAAUUUCUGUGAUGACUACAUUUUAGAGAUAAUUUGACCAUAUUUUAGAUGUUGUAUAUGAAUACAUUGAAUUAGUUUCUAAACUUCUAGACUUAGAUGCUGUUUUCUGAAUGACACUAGCUGUUUUUGUUCAGCACAUAGGGGUUAAGGAGGAAAGGGAGAUCAAAAUGAAGGCUAAAAAACGAGCUGAGGAAGUUGUUUCAGACUGCUGUGAGUCUGUGCGUCCACAACAGUCUCAUAGUCCCAGAACAAGCCCGCAGCUACUACAGAUCAGCCCUUGACGCAGAUCUACGGUUUGCUGUGUACCGCCAUUCUGAUAAUGACAUCACCGGACGCUGCCUGAUCUACACCCACAAGGUUGUCAAUGCAAAAGGCGAAAGAGAAAAUAACGCAGAACUGCAGCUACUGUCACGGUCAGAGGCUGCUGCCUCUGAGCUGAAGACAACACCAACCGAUGAACAAUUAUUCUCUGAGCUGUGUGACAUCUUCCUGCCUGGCCUCAUACCUUCCUGCCAGCUGGUUGUCUUUACCACCACCACAGAGUGUGACCAUCAGCGCGGUUACACGACAGCCAGGAGACUAUGCUAUGCAGAGUCUCUGCCAGCAGGCGUACUCUGACCUUGUGGGGUUGAUUGACAGCUGUAACAUCUUAGAAAGCAGAGAGGACUCUCAGCUCAGUGAUGCUUUGGCCAGAGAGCAGGCCGAGCAGGAGGAGCUGUGCCGCCUUCUGUGCUGCUUUUAUGAUGUCAUUCAGCCAGAGGAGGAAAAGUCAGAGCCUAUAUGGAGCAGAGUGACCAACAUUGCCCACUAGUGGCGACAGGAGGGCCCUGCACAGGGAAGACAGUGCUGCUGUCAUACUGUGCUCAACAGAUAAAGUCCUGGCUACCAGACAGCAGUCCUGUGGUGAUCCCUUACUUUAGCAAUCUGUCAAUCAACACUUCUCCAAAGCACCUGUUGUCCAGCCUGUGUUAUCAAAUAGCCAGUAGAUAUCA